UAGGGAAUCUUCGGCAAUGGACGAAAGUCUGACCGAGCAACGCCGCGUGAGUGAAGAAGGUUUUCGGAUCGUAAAACUCUGUUGUUAGAGAAGAACAAGGAUGAGAAGAGAAUGUUCAUCCCUUGACGGUAUCUAACCAGAAAGCCACGGCUAACUACGUGCCAGCAGCCGCGGUAAUACGUAGGUGGCAAGCGUUGUCCGGAUUUAUUGGGCGUAAAGCGAGCGCAGGCGGCUCUUUAAGUCUGAUGUGAAAGCCCCCGGCUUAACCGGGGAGGGUCAUUGGAAACUGGGGAACUUGAGUGCAGAAGAGGAGAGUGGAAUUCCAUGUGUAGCGGUGAAAUGCGUAGAUAUAUGGAGGAACACCAGUGGCGAAGGCGGCUCUCUGGUCUGUAACUGACGCUGAGGCUCGAAAGCGUGGGGAGCAAACA
RNAcentral lists this ribosomal RNA (428 nucleotides) under uncultured prokaryote. RNAcentral's name for it is "bacterial SSU rRNA". It matches the Rfam family "Bacterial small subunit ribosomal RNA", at positions 355 to 774 of the family's 1533-position model. The record is from RNAcentral.